AACACUUCAGGGGAUUUGCAGCGUCUGGAAGGGAGCUAUAAGUGUUCUUUUUUGGACAUCUCAGCGACACCGUGGAUGGGUCACUUGACUUCUGGAGGUCUCUGCGUCCAAAGUUGUACAAUUAAGACCUUUAAGUGCUAUGAACGGUGAAUAUUAUCUUGGCUGUGGCUUCCCGAAGACACUAUCCUCUCUGGCUACUCAAGUGUCAGUCAAGCCAGCAGUUUCCACUGGCCGGGUCCAGGAGGGCCCCUGGUUAUACGAGGCUCUGUGCUCCAAGGCAUUCAGGUUAUUUCAUCUUAUUUAUUUCAAGACAUGUUUAAUAUGUAGCCGCAGGGGGAAAAAAACAACCUUACUACACGUUACAAGCUGGAUCUAUCCGUCACCUUCGCCUGCUUUCUAAAACUGUAGACAUGGCCGGGUCCUGGAGGUUCCCCUUGUGACAAGAAUAGCCCCAUGAUUUCAUGAAUGAGGGACCUGCAGGGUGAGAGACUCUAUUUCUGAGUCAAAGAAGGAUCUGGAAAACUAACUGGAACUUGAACAAAAACAAGACCGAGGACUUUGAUGUGGGAUAUGUUUUUAAAAAAAAUCAUUAACUUGCAAUUAUAAGAUUUAAUUUGUGAGGCUGUGGUGUACUUGGAAACCACUGCUCAGCUACAGUGAAGUGAGUGAGAGUGUGAGAGGGACAGCAGCAGCAGCAAGUGUCAUCUGGUCUUCCAACUUGGGGAGGGCUUUGGAGUUUAAAAUGGUGUGAAUAUGAUAGCCAUCGGUAUAGCGUAUGCAAGUGGAGAUCUGUCUGCAACCAUUGAAAAGUUGACAGUUCAGAGGCACUAAUCUGACAAAGGGACGGUGUAAAUCAACAACAACACAACGAUUUUGGAUAUCAACAGAUAUUGGGACUUAUUGGGUGCGCUGAAAAAAAAAGAGGGGACUUUGCCUGAGUCUUUGGAGGCUGCAUGAGAAAGAGAGUUGGGAGGACGCACAGGCAAAAGGGCAAGAGGAAGACACCAAGGAGGUGAGUGACGGAUUUACCCUCGGAAGGGGUAAAAAGAUGACUGUGGUGUCCCAGGAGAACCACGACGAGACUGUGGUCAUAACUCCUUUGCUGCAAGAUGCUGCUGACUUGGAACCAGCGGACCAGGAGUGCAGCGAGAGGGUGGUCAUCAACAUCUCAGGUCUGCGUUUUGAGACCCAAUUAAAGACCCUCUCCCGCUUCCCGGCCACGCUUUUGGGUGAUCCGCGUAAAAGGAUGCGUUUUUUCGACCCGCUGAGAAAUGAGUACUUCUUUGACAGGAACAGGCCGAGCUUUGAUGCCAUCCUCUAUUAUUACCAGUCAGGUGGGCGGCUUCGGAGGCCCGUGAGUGUCCCUGUGGAUAUUUUCCUGGAAGAAAUCAGGUUUUAUGAACUUGAGGAAGAAGUCAUUGAGCUUUUCCGAGACGAUGAAGGCCUGGCGAGGGAAGAGGAGCGUCCGUUGCCUAAUAACGAGUUUCAGCGACAGUUUUGGCUCCUGUUUGAGUAUCCAGAGAGUUCAGGACCUGCACGGAUAAUUGCCAUCGUGUCAGUUAUGGUUAUCUUAAUAUCCAUCAUUAUAUUCUGCUUGGAGACUUUACCUGAGUUUAGAGAUACCCCCGCAGUGCACGACAAUAACGCCAAUGGUACUGCUUCUGGCAAAACGCUCAGUCCGUUCACAGAUCCCUUUUUCAUGGUGGAGACACUUUGCAUUGUGUGGUUCUCUUUUGAAUUCACCAUGAGGUUCCUCUCCUGUCCCAGCAAACCAGCUUUCUUUAAAAACAUCAUGAACUUGAUCGAUGUUGUGGCCAUAGCACCUUAUUUUAUCACCCUGGGCCUUGAUCUCGCAGAGCAUCAGGGCAGCAGUCAGCAGGCUGCGUCUUUGGCCAUACUGAGGGUCAUCCGUCUGGUGCGCGUUUUCAGGAUUUUUAAACUUUCCAGACACUCCAAGGGUCUCCAGAUUCUCGGCCAAACGCUUCACGCAAGCCUCAGGGAGCUGGGACUGCUCAUAUUCUUCCUGAUUAUUGGAGUUGUUUUAUUCUCCAGUUCUGUUUAUUUUGCAGAAGCAGAAGACCCCGAGUCUGGAUUUACAAGUAUUCCUGAUGCGUUUUGGUGGGCUGUGGUGACAAUGACCACAGUUGGGUACGGAGACAUGUGUCCCUCCACCAUCUGGGGGAAAUUCGUUGGAUCUCUGUGCGCCAUCGCCGGAGUGCUAACCAUAGCUUUACCAGUCCCUGUGAUAGUGUCAAAUUUCAAUUAUUUCUACCACAGAGAGAACGAGGAGGAGGAAAACCUUACGUAUGUACACGUGACUUGUGGACAGCAGCAGUACCAGCCCUCCUUUGGUGAAUGUGAUUCAACUAAAAGUACCCAGUCACUCUCCAAAACUGAGUCCUAUCAUGAAAGCGACGACUUUGAAACUUACAUACAACAAAACGUACAUCCAGUGGAGAUAUACACAGGGAAACUGACAGAUGUAUAAAAAGGGCAGCCGGUUUUAUUUCUGGUGAGUUCCUGUGAACAUACAAUCAGGCUCCAUCAUGUCGGAUGCUGCAGAUGUUUUACGCACGCGUGGAGCCUCAGAUGUGCACGCUACAACCCCAACAAAACGAUGAUUGGCUUCAUUUCAGUGAGGCAGGCGAUUAAAUGAAGCUCGUUUCUCCAUCAGAGUCGCAACAAAAUAAGAAGUGUGGGAUUUGUCUUCGCCAAAACGUUGGAUCAUUUUUCUCAUGGAUAUUCAUGAAAUGCCAGUGUUUGGAAAAUGUCUUGGACAUUGUGUGUAUCAUCAGUAGAAAGAAAACAACAUUCUUUUGUGUAGGCUUUAUAAAUGACCACGCUUUCUUUGUAUAAAAGCCUUGUGUAUACUGCGUUUUUUUUUUUGUAACUCUGAUUUUUUUCCUUUUCUUGUGCAGCUUAUUACGCAAAGUUGGACUUGCAACUUACCUCUGUGUUGUUACGAACAUUCAGAUUGCAUUGCAACAACAUAUAGCCCAGAACAUUACGAUGCAAUGUCUGCAUGACAUGAAGUACUCAUUGUGACUUUUAAAUGUAAUAAAAUAUUUAUUUUUCUAAUUUAAACAUGUAUGUGAACUUAACUUAAUCAUUGUUUUUUUUAUAAAUAAAUUGUGAAUCAGAAAAUAUACCACUCAUUAUUUGUCACAUAUGACACAGAUGAGACUCAGAGAAAGCCCCUUUAAUUAGUCUAAUACACUUCAUCACGUUUGGUGCUGAAUAAUAGGAAAAAGGCGCAGAAGCAGACAUUGGGUUGUCUUGCCACAAAACCAAUUAAUUUAAUAAAAUGUCAUAGUGACAAAGAGAAGGGGGAUUUGUUUGGCUAGAGGCGGAUUUUUAAUAAAUUGGGUCCAGAUCACCUGAUUUUGUGUUGAAUGUGUGUUUUUGAGUUAGUUCUGCCCUCUCACUGUGUGUGUGUGUAUGUUUUUUUAGGCCCGCCUACAUACAGGCCCUUCAAAGUCAGCAGUGGACACAUAUAGGUUAUUAAUGGAUUACCGUAAUGAGUUGCUCUGGUUGUUUGUUUUUGGGAUUUGUAGUUUUCUCUGAGGUGGAUCAAUCAUCUGCGCUCUCCGUGGUGCUGAAACUGAUCCUCCGCCCUCUGCAGAG
This is an RNA transcript of Larimichthys crocea (large yellow croaker), 3624 nucleotides long. It is a transcript of the gene named shaker-related potassium channel tsha2, with no coding region annotated. Lineage: Eukaryota; Metazoa; Chordata; Actinopteri; Sciaenidae. The transcript is spliced from 2 exons. The record is from RefSeq and is a predicted model, not a curated record.